This 1166-nucleotide long non-coding RNA is filed under the name Mus musculus (house mouse). RNAcentral's name for it is "long non-coding RNA chr10:70192032-70193198". Lineage: Eukaryota; Metazoa; Chordata; Mammalia; Rodentia; Muridae. The record is from RNAcentral.
UGGCUUUGAUGGCUCAGGCUGCUGUGCCUUUUAUCAUUGGCUUCUGAUUCAAACCAGAAAUAAUUGAUAAUGUGAAUUUGUGUUGAUCCUUCAGUUGUAGGAAAACUGUAUAUCUAUCCCCCGUUGUUAAGUAGACAUGAGCCUGUCCCCUGCUUGUAGAGAUUGACCAGGAAAACGGGAGGAAGCAUGGCCGUUGCGUGUUUCAGAAAGUUUAUUGUUUAAAAUACAGAAGGAAGUUUUCUUUGUGACUUGAUCUUCUGUCUAGUACUUGUCUAAUCAGUUAACCCACGCUGAGAGCUUGUAGCGAUGCCUACCAAAGACAUGCAUAGUAAACCUCCUGUUUCCAAAUUAUUAAAGAGCCAGCCAUUGAUGCUGCUCCUGGUUCUUUCUGGGAGCCAUUGUGAGAGACUAAAAGAUUCUUAGGGUGUUUGUUUGUUUGUUUGUUCGUUCGUUUGUUUAAGUUUUAAUUUCUCUCUUUCUAAAUUUUUGAUUACAAAUGUGUUAGCCUAAUGUGUUGGGGAGCAUUUCCCAGAAUGCUCAGCAGUUGUGAUUACUGGUCACACCCAGGUCACCUCUUCUGGAGUGAUCAACGGGAUCCUCUGUGCGUGCUAGCAUGGGUGCUGUGUGUGUGCACGUGUGCGUGUGUGCAUUCAUGCCUUAACUUGGGUUACUGCUCAGCUUUGCCGUCUGACUUGGUCCUCACCAGCAUCAGAUUGUAUUGUGCAUCCUGAUCUGAACUUCAUUCUGGUAAAAAAAAACAACAACAACAACAAAACCACAAGGUUGCAGGUAGCACAGGCUGGAACGCAUUCCUUUGGAAGAACGUCUGCUCAGAUGGACCCUGAGAUGUCUCCACGGACUUUAUUUGGGACUUUGUUUGGAAAGAAAGCCGACUGUAACUUGGGCAGAUGUCGACAAGGAAGAGGGGAGAGCCAGAUGCCACCAUGCCCUCUGCCUCUGCAUAUCCGUGUGCUCUGUGUGUUGUGUAGGCUCAUCUACAGCUUACCUGGCUUGGAGUUCAGGUAAUGGUGGCCAUCCUGACAUUCUCUGUUGGAGUUUAGAGAGAUGUAAGACGUCCAGUUAAUGUCUUAUUUACUUUAUGUUGAUCAGUCUUUAAUACAUGUGCUGAAUCAGAAAAACCUAAAUAAAGAUAAUUUUUUAAAAUG